UUUCAUAAACUAAAACAACAUACACAAAACCAUAACACAACACAUGCUGGAAUAAAAAUACUUACAAAAAUAACUUCAUUCAUAACAUAUGCAGGAAUAGGCAUAAGUUUAGUUACAAAAAAUAGGAAAUUAAACUAGGGGAAGCCUAAUAUGCCUCAGGCAAACACCAAAACCCUAAAACUGAUGGUCAAAAAGGCAAAAAUUAGAACAUUCAACACAAAGAAAACGAAAACACAUAUAAAAAAUCCAUGAAAACAGAGCAACAACAUAAUACGAAAUAAAAAAUCCAACAAAAAUGGUGGAAACACGAACUAACCAUGAAAAAACAGUACAAAAACUUUGAUUAAACACUAAAACCAUAGUUUACAAUAAGAACGAUAAAUUACAUACAAAAAAAUUAAAAAAAAAACAACAAAGGCGAAGAAUAUACCGACAAUAAACAAAAUCGACUCCAACAACAAAAAUAUUAACAGAUAUUAAAAUAUCGAAACGAGCUUAAAAUAUAAAUUCAUACCUAAAUAUCCAAACAGUUAAAGAGAAACAACACAAAGAGAGACAGGAGACACAGAGAAAAAGGGUGAGAUAAUCAAAAAAUCUGUAAAAAUGAAAUAGUAAGGUUUCAAUAGGUUAAGGGGUAAUUUCGUCCGAUAAUAUCCAUUAAAAGAAGCAACGAGUAAUUAUUAAAUACCACGUAUUAGAGGGGAAAAAUUUAAAAAUAAAAAAAUAUGCAGUCACACCCAUUAGGCCCGCUCCCAAAAAAAAAAAAAGAGUUACUGUAGUGACCAGACAAGUGACAGGCAACACCGUUUUGUGAAUGUUGAUAGUUAAGGGUACCAAAUCCAAUCUGACAGAAACGAAUAGCACUAGUGAUAACCAAAAUUAGGGUUAGGAUGCAGACUGAAGCCCGCGUAGGAUUGGUUGUGGAUGAAAAAGGAAGUGGUCGGAAAUUGCAGCGUCAGCAUUCUCAGAUUGGAACUGUUCCUCAGCUUGUUGCCGGUGGUCUUGCUGGUGCUGUCAGCAAGACAUGCACUACCCCUCUUGCUCGCCUUACUAUUCUCUUUCAGGUCACUUUCAUUGUUCUAAUUCCAAGGCAAACUUGUUUUCGCUGUCUUGUCUUGUCUUAUGCACAUUUUCCUCUAUAACAACUGCAAGGAAUGCACACCAAUGCUGCUACCUUCAAAAAGUCUAGUUUAUGCCAAGAGGCUUCAUAUAUUGUACGCAAAGAAGGAUUUCGCGCAUUUUGGAAGGGCAAUUUGGUCACUAUUGCUCAUCGCCUCCCAUAUUCCUCUAUCAGCUUUUAUGCUUUUGAAAGCUACAAGAAUGUGUGGCAAUUGAUUUUGGGAGUUGAAAGCCAAGGAGAGAAUAUAAGUGCAGACCUUUGCAUAAGACUUGUAGGUGGUGGUUUCGCUGGAAUAACAGUUGCUUCUCUUACAUACCCCUUGGAUCUUGUUAGGACACGUCUUGCAGCUCAGACAAAUGUAAUAUAUUACAGAGGCAUAUGGCAUGCAUUACAAACCAUCAGUAGGGAAGAAGGGAUAGUCGGCCUUUAUAAAGGAAUGGGUGCUACUUUAUUGGGGGUUGGCCCGAACCUGGCAAUCAGCUUUUCUGUUUAUGACACUGUGAGAUCGUACUGGCAGUCUCAUAGACCAGAUGAUUCAACUGUCUUGGUCAGCCUUGCUUGUGGAAGUCUUUCAGGUGUUGCAUCAUCAACAGAGAAGCAGGUUGAGGUGCUGGCUUCUCACUAAGUUUCUAACUGGACUGACUCUUAGAGCCCGAGACCGAGCACUUUUAUCUGGCAUUUGAUUUUAUUGGCUCCACCAUGGUGGAUAUUUGCACGGGAGCCAUAUGUAUUUGCAGUUAUCAAAAUGUGAGAGGCUUCCUCGUUGAGGGUACAGAAGUAGUUGGAGCAUCCCAGUCGGCUUUACGUUAUUCCAUUGAACAGGCAUCAGUGAUUUAAAAGCAAAAAGUGCUAAAAAGCCAUCCUGAGGUGGUUGGUAAAAAAAGAGGAACACAAGCACAUACUGUAGCUGUAGAAGAGCUAGCAGAAUAAAGAAAGGAAUAGGAGAAAGAUCAAAGUGGGGAGGAUGAUGAAGGACAAGAAGAAAAGAAAUCAGGAAGAGAGAAGUGGAACAAUUACAGGACAAGGGAGAAAGAGAAGAAAAAAGCUAAAUAGUGAUGGGAUUUGAAUCGUCAAUAAAGAAGACGAGGACCCUUCCUGGAGCAAAGUGAAAGGCCGUUUAAGACCUAUUUUCUCUCCACCCUUUCUUGUAUUGGAGCAGCAUAGCCCUACUGGGAAGGAAUGUAAAUGUAGUAAUCGCAGAAUUUUAUUCAACACAAGGCUGGAAUCUCUCUCUUAGAAGGAAUGCAAAUGAUUGGGAAGUAGAACGAGUAUGUCUUUUGCUUCAGCUGCUAAGCAACAUAGCUUUGGACUACAAAAAAGUAGAUUCUAUUACAUGGGAGGGGCAUCCCAAAUGUCUCUUUACGGUCAGAAGCUGCAAUCAAGUAACAACAGGGUCUUUGCCUUGGGAAAAAAAUUUGGCUUUGGAAGGCACCUUUGAAGGUCAUUUGCUUCUCUUGGAUUGUGGCUAGAGAGACUUGUCUCACUCGUUCCAACGUUCAAAAGAGGAAAAUUCAGCUUUGUAGUAGGUGCCCCAUGUGUGAAGAGCACUCUGAAGAUGUUGGCCACCUCCUUUUGUAUUGUAUAGUUACUACUCGCUGUGGAGCAUGUUCUUGUCGAUCUUAUGAAUGUCCUGGUCCAUGCCAAAAUCCACUAGGGAGCUAUUGCAAUGUUGGAAGAAAGAAGGGUUGUGCAAGAAAUCACAAGAGACUUGGACUACCAUCCCUCAAGCCAUUUAGUGGACUAUUUGGCUUGAAAGAAAUGAUAUAAAUUUUGAAGGCCGUAGGAGAAAUUGCAUAGCCUUAAACAAAGAUGUCUUAUUUUGCUAGCUUUUUGAUGCAACCUGGUUAUUGUACAGGAUGUUGAUGCAAUUUUAGAUACAAUAGGGGAUCUGCACAAUCUGUAGUUAUGUUUUCUCGCACUGGCUUAGUGCAAGGCAUUUAUAAAAUCUUUGAGUACUUAUUUAAAAAAAAAAAAAAAAAGUCCUACUGCCUUUCCAUCUGUUUCUUCAGAUAGUAAUCUAGACUCCUUUUAUAUUUUUUAAUUAUUUUUCUCAGGUACAACAGAAAUUCAAAUAGAAGCUUACACCUCAUGCCUUUAAAACUUACACAACUGUAGCAAGCACUUCUUUUAGAGUCACAUCGCUUUUCCCUAUUGAGGCACCAUACCUGCACCUCAUGGUGCCUCCCCACUCGAUGGCUAACACUAACUGGCGCAUGUUUUGGCUUCUGAUUUAUUAUGUCUGGUGGAUGGGCAAUCACUUUCAUUGUUUUCAGUUUAGGGAAAAAGGUCAAAAAAACCCCUCUACUUUGUUUUAUUAGCUAAAUAAGCUGAUUUUAGAAGCCUGAUUUUGUUUUAUUAACUAAAUAAGCUUAUUUUAGA
RNA transcript from Lycium barbarum (goji berry), 3499 nucleotides. RefSeq lists it as uncharacterized. NCBI's taxonomy places the organism in Eukaryota, Viridiplantae, Streptophyta, Magnoliopsida, Solanales, Solanaceae. The transcript has 8 exons. The record is from RefSeq and is a predicted model, not a curated record.